CAGUCGCCGCGGGAAUACGAAGGGUGCAAGCGUUAAUCGGAAUUACUGGGCGUAAAGCGUGCGUAGGCGGUGAGUUAAGUCUGCUGUGAAAUCCCCGGGCUCAACCUGGGAAUGGCAGUGGAUACUGGCUCGCUAGAGUGUGUCAGAGGAUGGUGGAAUUCCCGGUGUAGCGGUGAAAUGCGUAGAGAUCGGGAGGAACAUCAGUGGCGAAGGCGACCAUCUGGGACAACACUGACGCUGAGGCACGAAAGCGUGGGGAGCAAACAGGAUUAGAUACCCGGGUAGUCCCUGUCUCUUAUAC
This 301-nucleotide ribosomal RNA is filed under the name uncultured bacterium. RNAcentral describes it as "partial 16S ribosomal RNA". It matches the Rfam family "Bacterial small subunit ribosomal RNA", at positions 509 to 807 of the family's 1533-position model. The record is from RNAcentral.